Long non-coding RNA from Hippoglossus stenolepis (Pacific halibut), 262 nucleotides. RefSeq lists it as uncharacterized. Lineage: Eukaryota; Metazoa; Chordata; Actinopteri; Pleuronectiformes; Pleuronectidae. The transcript is spliced from 2 exons. The record is from RefSeq and is a predicted model, not a curated record.
AAUGACCUAUUAAUGCCCUAUUGGUUUUGAUACAUUUAUUUUGAAAUGGUUUAGACGGAAGGAGAAAUAUUAUACUUUAUUUUGAAAAGGUAGUUCCUGGAAAAACGGAAAAGAUCGCUAAAUGGCAGGUGUGCCUCGUUCUUUCAUGAAAAAGUAUUCCCAUUAUUUGUUAAGCACCUGGCUGAGAAAGGCACAAGUUCUUACGGUGUGUUCAUAUAUCACAGCAUGUAUGGAAAUGGAAAUAAAAGGAUGUGAACCAUCA